Molecule: ribosomal RNA, 385 nt
Filed under: uncultured Anoxybacillus sp.
Lineage: Bacteria; Bacillati; Bacillota; Bacilli; Caryophanales; Anoxybacillaceae
Description: bacterial SSU rRNA
Rfam family: Bacterial small subunit ribosomal RNA
Source: RNAcentral
GACAACCCGAGAGAUCGGGCGUUCCCCUUCGGGGGACAGGGUGACAGGUGGUGCAUGGUUGUCGUCAGCUCGUGUCGUGAGAUGUUGGGUUAAGUCCCGCAACGAGCGCAACCCUCGACCUUAGUUGCCAGCAUUCAGUUGGGCACUCUAAGGUGACUGCCGGCUAAAAGUCGGAGGAAGUGGGGAUGACGUCAAAUCAUCAUGCCCCUUAUGACCUGGGCUACACACGUGCUACAAUGGGCGGUACAAAGGGUCGCGAACCCGCGAGGGGGAGCCAAUCCCAAAAAGCCGCUCUCAGUUCGGAUUGCAGGCUGCAACUCGCCUGCAUCGAAGCCGGAAUCGCUAGUAAUCGCGGAUCAGCAUCGCCGCGUGAAUACGUCCGGCU